CGAAAUAGCUUUAGGGCUAGCCUCAAGUUAGUGAUGUGGGGGUAGAGCACUGAAUGGCCUAGGGGCGUAUAUACGUUACCAAAGCCUAUCAAACUCCGAAUACCAUAUCAUGAUGCUUGGGAGUCAGACUCCGGGGGAUAAGCUCCGUAGUCGAAAGGGAAACAGCCCAGACCACCAGCUAAGGUCCCUAAGUACAGGUUAAGUGGGAAAGGAUGUAAGACUACACAGACAACCAGGAUGUUGGCUUAGAAGCAGCCAUUCAUUUAAAGAGUGCGUAAUAGCUCACUGGUCGAGUGGUCUUGCGCCGAAGAUGUCCGGGGCUCAAACCUGUCACCGAAGCUGUGGAA
Molecule: non-coding RNA, 347 nt
Filed under: Caldisalinibacter kiritimatiensis
Lineage: Bacteria; Bacillati; Bacillota; Tissierellia; Tissierellales; Thermohalobacteraceae
Description: Bacterial large subunit ribosomal RNA
Rfam family: Bacterial large subunit ribosomal RNA
Source: Rfam by way of RNAcentral